This 322-nucleotide small nuclear RNA is filed under the name Neogale vison (American mink). RNAcentral describes it as "Neovison vison (American mink) 7SK RNA (ENSNVIG00000001825.1)". It matches the Rfam family "7SK RNA". Rfam says of the family: 7SK was discovered as an abundant small nuclear RNA in the mid-70s but a possible function has only recently been suggested. Two independent studies have found that 7SK RNA binds the CDK9/cyclin T complex (known as elongation factor P-TEFb). P-TEFb activates transcription by phosphorylating the C-terminal domain of RNA polymerase II. The record is from Rfam by way of RNAcentral. Lineage: Eukaryota; Metazoa; Chordata; Mammalia; Carnivora; Mustelidae.
GGAUGUGAGGGUGAUCUGGCUGUGACAUCUGCACCCCAUUGAUUGCCAGGGUUGAUUCAGCUGAUCUGGCUGGCUAGGUAGGUGUCCCCUUCCUCCCUUCCUCCCUCACUGCUCCAUGUGCGUCCCUCCCAAAGCCACGUGCUCCGUUGAAGAGGACGACCUUCCCUGAUAGAGGAGAGGACCAUUCUGCAGUCAAGGGUAUAUGAGUAGGUGUGCUCCCCUGCUAGGACCUCCAAACAAGCUCUGAAGGUCCAUAAAUAAAUAUUUAUGAUCUUUAAGUUAUAAUUAGAUUUUAAAGAAAUCUGGCCCAGCAUUUCUCAAA